This is a long non-coding RNA of Theobroma cacao (cacao), 318 nucleotides long. RefSeq lists it as uncharacterized. Lineage: Eukaryota; Viridiplantae; Streptophyta; Magnoliopsida; Malvales; Malvaceae. The record is from RefSeq and is a predicted model, not a curated record.
GGGGAAUUAAAGUCAGCUAAAGGCUCAACAAUAAAUCGAUAAAAUAGGCCAUAGUGCUAUGUGGUAAAGGUCGUCCCACGACAGACCGAUUGUGGCAUCCGAUAGGUUUCGGUUUUGAUGUUCUCACUCCGCUAAGUCCGUCACAAGCUUCUGCAUAGGGUUGGCUGUGGUUAUGUAUGUAGACACAUUGUGCCAUAUGAACUUAUGUAAGGGUUGUUAUGAGUGAAGUCGCCUUGAAUGGCCAACGUAUGGCCUUAUAAAUAUUUGUAUGAAUUAUAUGCCAUGGAUAAUGUAAUAUAUUUGGUUUUAUUGUGAAUA